Ameiurus melas (black bullhead) is the source of this 74-nucleotide non-coding RNA. NCBI's taxonomy places the organism in Eukaryota, Metazoa, Chordata, Actinopteri, Siluriformes, Ictaluridae. The record is from the annotation of a GenBank genome assembly.
GGCAGUGGUAGCUCAGUGGUUAAUAUGUUGGUCUACUGCUCAAAAGGUCAUGAGUUCAAGCCCCAGCACUGCCA